Felis catus (domestic cat) is the source of this 1695-nucleotide long non-coding RNA. RefSeq lists it as uncharacterized. The transcript is spliced from 10 exons. Lineage: Eukaryota; Metazoa; Chordata; Mammalia; Carnivora; Felidae. The record is from RefSeq and is a predicted model, not a curated record.
GGUGACAACCUAGACUUGAGGUUGGCAUGGUGGGUUUGUAGGGGAAGGGGGAGUUUUGUGACACUGGGCCCUUAACCUGUGGAAUCUGUUGCUAUCCCCGCAGGUAGAUCGUGUCAUAAUUGAGUUGAAUUGUAGGACAUCUAGCUGGUGUUAGAUUCUGAACUGGAGUUAGACUAAUAACGGCAUUAUUAAUGAAAACUAUUGCUACAUAGAAAACCACUUUUAAUUUGCAGUGGUGUCAGAAACAUAUGUUUUAAUACUGUCACUGAAGAAAGUUGAGGAUUAAAUUUAUCCAGUAUGAGGGAAACUACAAGCCUCCCCUCCCCCACUGCAUUUUUUUGAUGUGGUCAUUGGUCAAGGGGCUAUACUUCUACAAGGAUGAGCACAGGACCCAUAGUGGCCAACAGAAUGCCACUUUCUCAGGAAUAUAAUGGACACCAGAGGAGAGAAGGCCCUUCUCAUCAGAUUACCAACUAAUAUGGCAUGAAAUGUUAUCCUUAUCUCAGUGGAUGAGGCUUAGAAGGACAACCAAGUAUAAACAUUCAAAGAAGUUUUAUAGCAAUAGAGAAAGAUGUGGAAGAACACACAUCAGACCCGUAAUGUUGACUGGCUAAGUGGGUUUGGGAGCAGAAGUGGACUGUAGGCCUCAUGAGGGCAGGGACCCUGUCUAUUUUGCUUACCAAAUCCUACCUCUGACAGAAUGCCUGAGCAUGAUUUCUUCCUUUUCCAAAUGCCAUUAGAGAAGCCAUUCAAACUGUGUGAAUGUAAUGACACUUAACCUAAAUUGACCUGGGAUCACCAUAUAGUCAUCACAUUGACAGGGACUCUCUUGAUGGAGUAUUCCAAACACAAAUGGUACAGACACCAGCUACCCAAAGGCAGUAUGACCAGAAACUGUCCCUGAUUUGGAUGUUGCUAGUUUUUGGAUUUAAUGUCUCCAUCAAUCUUGCAUAGCCUCCUGGAAAGCAGAUUAUUGAAAGGAGAUACAUGGACUUUAGAAGAGAAGGAGAGCCAAAUACAUUUUGUAAAGCAAAAACAUUUUAGCUUGCAUCAUUCCGCAAACUCCAAGUUCUGUCAAGUGAGAAGUUCAUGAAAAGCUGUCCACAAGAGAUGGCUCUUGAGCCAGGCCAGAGCAGCAUUUGUGACUGUGACACAAAUGACCUCAGUCACACACAGCCCUAUAUGCUUCCGGGGUUUGAUUCCAGCACACAUCUUCAGGAUUCUGAGAGACACCCUCUGCUUCAUCCAACACGGAAAAAAGGCACAUGUUAAAACACCAAAGAAAUCAUGGAAAGUGGUCCAGGCUCUUCUGAGAGUCCUCAACAUUGAGUACAGGCCUCGAUGGGGUUAAAAGACUCUGUAGGCCUGUCUGGGACAAAAGCCAUAGAAGCAGAGAAAGGUGAAAUCAAAGUCAUUUCUCCAGUCCACUUGAUAGCAACUUUCUGGAGAUAAAGUCCUACAUCAGAGAAGAUUUUCUAAAGAAGGAAAUUUCAGUCACUAUGGUGAACCAAUGGGAGAAACAUUUUGCGAUGACAAUGGAAAUUUACCACCCUUCAAAUGAUAAAGAAGAACUGAAAAAAAAUAUUAAAUUGAACACACUGGUGAUAUUUCAGUAGACAUUAUAAAACCACCAGUAAUGCUGAUUUAUCAUGAUUGCAUUUGAAGAAAAAAGAUUAAAACUUUUAAGAUGAAAAA